RNAcentral lists this small RNA (2275 nucleotides) under Pongo abelii (Sumatran orangutan). Its description in RNAcentral is "processed transcript". The record is from RNAcentral. Lineage: Eukaryota; Metazoa; Chordata; Mammalia; Primates; Hominidae.
CUUAAUGCCUUUUUCAGUUUGAUUGUCUACAUGGAGAUCAGGGUGAUAAGUUUCAAUAAACAUAUAGACGCCCCCCCCACCCACCCCCAUUAGCUAGAAAAGACCAGGACUGGGUUGCUUUAAAUGAACCAAGCUUGACCAACAAACAAGACAGCCAUUUGUUCACUCAGAUCUAGCCGAGGUAACUCACAAGUGCACGUUGAGAUCCUCCAUGUGUCUGUCAACAGCGAUAGCCAGGAUCUGCGCCCAGCUCAUGCUGCAUUCUAAGAACUCUCAUUUCAUUUGCAUAUAAAAUUCAUUACAGGAAGUAAUUAACUGAAGGAACAGCGUCAUCAAAGGCUCAAGGAUAAUGGAAACCAUCAUCAUGAUUAUCUACUGGGACCUCAUCAGCCAUGAUGAGAUGUUCUCCGACAGCUACAUGAGCCAGGAAAUCGCAGACAGGCUGCGCCUGGAGGUGGAAGGGAAGAUAGUCAGUAGGACACAAGGUAACAUUUUUGACUCACUCAUUGGUGGAAAUGCCUCCACUGAAGGCCCUGAGGGCAAAGGUACUGAAAGCACAGUAAUCACUGGUGUCGAUAUUGUCAUGAAUCAUCACCUGCAAGAAACAAGCUUCACAAAAGAAGCCUACAAUAAGUGCAUCAAAGAUUACAUGAAAUCAAUUAAAGGCAAACUGGAAGAACAGAGACCAAAAAGAGUAAAAUCUUUUAUGACAGGAGCUGCAGAACAGAUCAAGCACAUCCUUGCUAAUUUCAAAAACUACCAGAAAACAUGAAUCCAGAUGGCAUGGUUGCUCUGCGGACUACUGUGAGGAUGGUAUGACCCGAUAUAUGAUUUUCUUUAAGGAUGGUUUAGAAAUGGAAAAAUGUUAACAAAUUUGGCAAUUACUUUGGAUCUAUCACCUGUCAUCAUAACUGGCUUCUGUUUGUCAUCCACACAACACCAGGACUUAAGACAAAUGGGACUGAUAUCAUCUUGAGUUCUUCAUUAUUUUGACUGAUUUAUUUGGAGUGGAGGCAUUGUUUUUAAGAAAAACAUGUCAUGUAGGUUGUCUAAAAGUAAAAUGUAUUUAAACUCAAAAAAAAAAAUACCUGAGACUGGGUAAUUUAGAAAAACAAUAGAUUUCUUUAUCUUGUGAUUCUGUAGGCUGAGAAGUUCAAGGGCAUGGCCCUGGUUUCUGGCAAGGGCUUUUGUGCUGUGUCACAACAUAGUGGAGAAGGUCAAAGAGAAAGUGGACACGUGCAAAGAGGGGAAAACCUGAGUGGCAUCCCGGCUUUAAAAUACCCCACUGUCACAGGAACUAAUCCAUUCCUGAGAGAACUAAUCCAGUCUUGUGAGACUGAGAAUUCACUCACUCCUGCAAGACUGCCACCAAGCCAUUCAUGAAGGAUCCACCCCCAUGACCCAGACACCUCCCACUAGGACCCAGCUUCCAACAUUUGGGGAUCAAAUUUCAACAUGAGUUUGGAUGGAGACAAAUAAACCACAUCCAAACCAUAGCACAGGGACUGCUAAAUACCCCAACAACAGAAAUAGAAAGCUUCCCUAAACACCUUCCUUAACUGAGACCUCGCUGUCUCCUGAGAACCGCACUUCGCCUGUAGCCCUCUCCUAAGAGAUUCUUUCCCUCCCCCAAAUACUUCUGCAUCUGGAGGUGGAGCGGGCCCCUUCUUUGCUCCCCACUGCACCUUCCAGACCAUGACCGGCUGUACCUCUCAGGCACUUCCCUCCAUUCUAUCCUUUUGCCCACCCCCUAGUCUUGCCCAAAUCCAAAUCACUUCAACAUUCAUGUGAAAGAUCUAUCCCACUUCCCACGCUUCUUGUUUCUUCAGCCUACUCACCUCUGUUGCCCUCCCUUUCUGCUCCAGUCACCCACUCUCAGGGCCGCGAGUGGAUCUUGCGAUGGCCCAGAACUGCUGUACCACUGAAAUCUUAACUUCAAUCCCCACAACCUCACAUCUUUCUAACUUUCCCAUCUGAUUACUUCAUUACACUGUUCAGCUUUGUUGAGACUUGUAUGAGCUCAUCACAAAAGAAGAAAUCCCAAUGUCCAAUAAACAUGGAAAGGUGCUUAACCUCAUCUACUGUCAGGGAAAUGAGGAAUGAGGGAGAAUGGGGCAUGAGGAAGGAGCAUGAGAAAACUUUUUGAGGUAAUAGAUAUGUGCAUUAUCUUGAUCGUGGCUCUGGUUUCAAGGAUGUUUACUAAUCAAAUCAUCACUUAAAACAUGUGCAGUUUGUUGUACAUCAAUUAUAUAUCAAUAAAGUUGUAAAAUAUACA